RNAcentral lists this ribosomal RNA (355 nucleotides) under Prionurus scalprum (scalpel sawtail). RNAcentral describes it as "partial 12S ribosomal RNA". It matches the Rfam family "Bacterial small subunit ribosomal RNA", at positions 804 to 1360 of the family's 1533-position model. Lineage: Eukaryota; Metazoa; Chordata; Actinopteri; Acanthuriformes; Acanthuridae. The record is from RNAcentral.
AAACUUUAGUACUAAAAUACAAUUAGUGCUCGCCAGGGAACUACAAGCGCUAGCUUGAAACCCAAAGGACUUGGCGGUACUUCAGACCCACCUAGAGGAGCCUGUUCUAGAACCGAUGACCCCCGUUCAACCUCACCACCCCUUGUUAUCCCCGCCUAUAUACCGCCGUCGUCAGCUUACCCUGUAAAGGUCUUAUAGUAAGCAAAAUGGGCAAACCCCAAAACGUCAGGUCGAGGUGUAGCGCAUGAGGUGGAAAGAAAUGGGCUACAUUCCCUAACCUAGGGAACCACGGACGGCGCUAUGAAAGCUAGCGCCCGAAGGUGGAUUUAGCAGUAAGAAGGAACUAGAGCGUCUC